GUACCAAAUAAUCAAUGCUCUGUAAUCAUUUAAAAGUAUUUUGACCGGACCUCUGUUUGACACGUCUGAAUAACUAAAAGUAAAAAUUUGCCACUCAAGUGGCUUUUUUU
Molecule: non-coding RNA, 110 nt
Filed under: Francisella cf. tularensis subsp. novicida 3523
Lineage: Bacteria; Pseudomonadati; Pseudomonadota; Gammaproteobacteria; Thiotrichales; Francisellaceae
Description: Francisella cf. novicida 3523 Francisella sRNA A
Rfam family: Francisella sRNA A
About the family: Deletion led to significant changes in the expression of several mRNAs.
Source: Rfam by way of RNAcentral